Molecule: non-coding RNA, 456 nt
Organism: Labrus bergylta (ballan wrasse)
Lineage: Eukaryota; Metazoa; Chordata; Actinopteri; Labriformes; Labridae
Source: RefSeq, a predicted model, not a curated record
UCAUGACUCCAAACUGUAAUGUUGAAUCUUUGCAGCCCAAACCUCCCUCUCAUACCCCAGAAUGUCCUGUCAGCGCUCUUCUACAAAGCUCACGCUCAUCUUUCUCACACCCCAAUCUUAAACCAUCUAUCACACAGGUAUCAAAAUCAAGGCCCGCAGACUGAAUCCGGCCCGACAGCAGGUUUCAUCCGGCCUGCGAGACGUUUUGGGAAGAAGGGGAACAUCUUUGAAAGACAAAUUGCACUUACCGAUGGUGAUCUGACUGACGCAGCUGUAGAAGGUUCCUGAAGAGACAUUGUAGCUGCCACUGCUGGGCUCACGGUCUAUGACAAAGGCAGACAUCAGCAAAAAAUGUUUUCCUGGUUUGCAGAGUGUCAAUAAAGUGUGCACUAAGCCACUUACAGCACUGCUCCUGGCAAUUUGAGGAAAGUCAUGACCCUGCAUUUUUUGUCUAAA